GACGAACGCUGGCGGCGUGCUUAACACAUGCAAGUCGAACGGAAAGGCCCUGCUUUUGUGGGGUGCUCGAGUGGCGAACGGGUGAGUAACACGUGAGUAACCUGCCCUUGACUUUGGGAUAACUUCAGGAAACUGAGGCUAAUACCGGAUAGGAGCUCCUGCUGCAUGGUGGGGGUUGGAAAGUUUCGGCGGUUGGGGAUGGACUCGCGGCUUAUCAGCUUGUUGGUGGGGUAGUGGCUUACCAGGGCUUUGACGGGUAGCCGGCCUGAGAGGGUGACCGGCCACAUUGGGACUGAGAUACGGCCCAGACUCCUACGGGAGGCAGCAGUGGGGAAUAUUGCACAAUGGGCGGAAGCCUGAUGCAGCAACGCCGCGUGCGGGAUGACGGCCUUCGGGUUGUAAACCGCUUUCGCCUGUGACGAAGCGUGAGUGACGGUAAUGGGUAAAGAAGCACCGGCUAACUACGUG
Molecule: ribosomal RNA, 468 nt
Filed under: uncultured bacterium
Lineage: Bacteria
Description: partial 16S ribosomal RNA
Rfam family: Bacterial small subunit ribosomal RNA
Source: RNAcentral